UGAGCACUGGUGAUGCGGACUUAAAAUCGUUACCCUUGCACUUUGAUUGCCACUGAAGAAACUUAUGGGUAAAUAUGUUAUUUGAGAUGCUC
Molecule: non-coding RNA, 92 nt
Organism: Punica granatum (pomegranate)
Lineage: Eukaryota; Viridiplantae; Streptophyta; Magnoliopsida; Myrtales; Lythraceae
Source: Rfam